UCCAAUUUUAUUCUCCAGCACUUUUGAAUUGCAUUUUCAUCUACACUAGAUAUUUAUGAAUAACAGUUUCUUUGUUUGAUAUAAUUUUUAUGUUAUCACGGUGUUGUUUUCCUUUUGCAUGAAUAUGGCAUUAGCAUUCAAACCUUAGGUUCAACAUAUACUCUCAUCUUCCUCUGCAUCCACAUACCUUCAACUACUUGAAGCUGCAUAUGGUUUCCAGAGGGGAGUUGCAAGUUCCGAUGCACAUUAAAAACCUUAGAGGCACCUUCUCAUAGUGCCUCACACCACAUUGUUCGGACAUGUGAAUUCAAAUGGUAGAGUCAGACGCCUCGGUGCAGUGGCUAGAUAGUUUCAGAAUUCAGACUUCCAAUGUACUUUUAUGAGAUGUUCGUGUUCAUUCUGGUUGAUGGCAUAAUAUUUGUUCUUUUGACAAGUUCAUUCAUUAUACUAACCAAGUACAUAACUUGCAGACCUUUGGCCUUUACUUUAUGAUUUGAUUGAUGGGAAGUCGAGUUAUCUAUAUUGAACACAUUUUUAUUUUUUUGCAGGAUGGUUGAUACAUGUCUACACAUUUUGUCAGAGCAAUUUGUAGUGGAAGAAGUACCCUCAGACUGAUAAGAAGGCAACGGUUAUUUCGAAGUAACGGUUAUUGUUGUAGAUCAAGGAUGACAAGAAGGCAACUAAUGUACCAGGUGCAGGUAAUUAGCAACCUAGUAUGCAUGGAUGUGAUGACUUUGAAGUUUUAUGGAGCAUUUGGCUGUCUGCAGUAUUUUGGACCAGCCAACUUAAUUGUAAUCCUGAAUCUUAUGUGUUUUCUGGACCAUUUGGUGCUCAAGUGUUAUGGAGUAGAAAUCUUGUGCUCAUGGAUGUUACUCAAUUAUUUGGACCAUUUAGUUUUUGAAGUAUUUUAGACCAGCGAGUAGGGGUCCUUUAUGUGACUUGUGUUUUCUGGAUGGUUGCCAAGAUGGCCAAACUUUGCUUUGUGUAGAUUGACUUGUGCUUGAACCUGCGAACAGUGUGUGUGUGUGUGUAGUUUUGUUACCAUUUUAUCAAUGAUUGUGCAAUGUGUUCAUCUUGAUACUGUUUGUGGAUAAGAGUUGAGCAUUGUAUAUAA
Molecule: long non-coding RNA, 1114 nt
Organism: Triticum urartu
Lineage: Eukaryota; Viridiplantae; Streptophyta; Magnoliopsida; Poales; Poaceae
Source: RefSeq, a predicted model, not a curated record